RNAcentral lists this ribosomal RNA (111 nucleotides) under Porphyromonas gulae. The record is from RNAcentral. Lineage: Bacteria; Pseudomonadati; Bacteroidota; Bacteroidia; Bacteroidales; Porphyromonadaceae. RNAcentral also lists the same sequence under 1 other name.
UCAGGUGGUUAUAACGUUGGGGAUCCACCUCUUCCCAUUCCGAACAGAGAAGUUAAGCCCAACGGUGCCGAUGGUACUGCGUAAUAGUGGGAGAGUAGGACGCCGCCGUUU